AUAAGAGUCACAUCCCAGCAUUGACUCGGCUAUCUUUCAUGCUUUACUGGCAAUUGGAAAAUUGCUUUCAUGGAAUCGUCAAAGCUGGCAACCCUGUAUGUUCAUGGUCUGUGGAGCCAUUUGCUGGACAAAAAGUUCAUACCAUCUUGCAACGAUUACAACAAAUAUUCUGCUUACCCUGCUCACCCCUUGAUUCAUUACUUCGAGAAACUCACAGAGUUUAUGCUUGUAGAAAGCCAUGUUGGUGGAAAUAAGCUACUUGAAGAAGUGCACAGUUGUUGUUCUGCUGAUUCCAUCUGUGUUAACAAUAAGAUGUUUCUCGGCUACCACGCCAAGAGACACCAUCGCGUUCAAUGAAUCUAUUUCUGAUGGGCAGAACCUUGUUUCUAGUGACAAGAAAUUUGUGCUUGGAUUCUUUAGCCCUGGAGCUUCAAGCCACCGAUAUAUUGGUAUAUGGUAUAACAGUAUUCCAAAUGGAACGGUUGUAUGGGUUGCUAACAGGAAUGAUCCAGUACAUGAUAAGUCCGGUGUACUUAAGUUUGAUGAUGUCGGUAAUCUGAUAGUCCAAAAUGGCACAGGCAGCUCGUCUAUAGUUGCUUUUGGUUCUGGGGUGGGAGUGAGGGACAGGGAGGCUGCAAUACUGUAUACUGGCAACUUGGUGCUAAGGAGCAUGGCCAACCAGUCAAAUAUCAUAUGGGAUAGCUUUACCUAUCCUACUGAUACAUGGCUCCCUGGAACGAAUAUUACACUUAGAAAUUUGCUGAAAUCAUGGAAGAGCUAUGAUGAUCCAGCAACAGGAGAUUACACUUUUGGUUUUGGACCGAGCAUAGUUAAUACAUCAGCAUCACAAUUCAUUAUUAACUGGAAUCGGAAUUCAUUUUGGACAAGUGCAUCCUGGAAUAGUGACACGAAUUCUCUCAUUCCAGAACUGAAAUCUAUGAGUAUCAUCCCUGUUUCAUUUCAGUGUGACAACCUUACAUGCAUGUACACUCCCAACCCUGCUGGCAUAAUGACUAAGAUUGUUUUGGAUCAAAGUGGUUCACUGAACAUAACACAGUUCAAUCCGGAAACCAGAUUGUGGACAUUGUUAUGGAGACAUCCAGAUAGUUGUGAUGUGUCUAAUUUAUGUGGAGUUAAUGGUGUAUGCAACAACAGUAUGUCCGUAUCAGCAUCAGAAUCCAUUUGUCGGUGUCCAGAAGGAUUUGCAGCACAACACCAAUCAAAUUCCAGGAAAGGGUGCACCAGACAAACCCCACUGCAGUGUAAUGGUGAUAGGUUUAUUGAUAUGCUUAAUAUGACAGUUCCUGGCAACAGACAGAAGCUGUCAGUUGUGGAAAAAAGUGAAUGCGAAUUUGCCUGUAUGAAAAGUUGCUCUUGUACGGCAUAUGCUCAUUCGCUCUCCGAUGGUUGCAGCUUAUGGCAUGGCAAUCUAACAAACUUGCAGGAUGGAGUUGAAACUCUUCAUCUUCGUAUAGCUGCAUCAGAAUUACAUGGUCACAAAAUGCUUUGGAUAGCGUAUGUACUUCCGCCAGUUGCAUUCCUUGUCUUUUGUCUCAUCUCUUUUAUUUGGAUUAGGAGAAGGAAAAACAAAGGGAAAAGAAAACAGCCUGAUCACCCCCUCAUCAUGGCUUCAGAUGUGAUGAAGCUUUGGGAGAGCGAAGACACAGGCUCUCACUUUAUGAUGCUUUCCUUUUUACAGAUAGAAAAUGCCACAGACAACUUCUCAACUGAAAACAAGCUUGGGGAGGGAGGGUUUGGCCUGUGUACAAGGUUAAUUGUGUUCUUUAGUUUUGUUCGCUAAUAUGUUUGCUAGAAUUUCAAGACGAAUGGGUGCUAAUUAUAAUAAUUUAUUCUUAAGCAUGUAUAACUUUGUGUUUAGCCAAGUAAUGAUAGUGAAGUUCUUAUCGUAUGAUUGUAAUAAAUAAAAAACAAACUAAUUGAAAGGAGAAAACGGAGCAUAUCUUUGUCCA
RNAcentral lists this ribosomal RNA (1970 nucleotides) under Triticum aestivum (bread wheat). Its description in RNAcentral is "partial small subunit ribosomal RNA". The record is from RNAcentral. Lineage: Eukaryota; Viridiplantae; Streptophyta; Magnoliopsida; Poales; Poaceae.